GAGUGAAGAAGGCCUUCGGGUUGUAAAGCUCUUUCGGAGGGGACGAAAUGGUUUUGGCUAAUACCACGAACUGAUGACGGUACCCGAAGAAAAAGCACCGGCUAACUACGUGCCAGCAGCCGCGGUAAUACGUAGGGUGCAGGCGUGAAUCGGAAUUACUGGGCGUACAGCGUGCGCAGGCGGUUUGCUAAGACAGAUGUGAAAUCCCCGGGCUUAACCUGGGAACUGCGUUUGUAACUGGCAGGCUGGAGUGUGGCAGAGGGGGGUGGAAUUCCAAGUGUAGCAGUGGAAUGCGUAGAUAUGUGGAGGAAUACCGAUGGCGAAGGCAGCCCCCUGGGAUAACACUGACGCUCAUGCACGAAAGCGUGGGGAGCAAACAGGAUUAGAUACCCUGGUAGUCCACGCCCUAAACGAUGUCAACUAGUUGUCGGGUCUUAAUUGACUUGGUAACGCAGCUAACGCGUGAAGUAGACCGCCUGAGGAGUACGGUCGCAAGAUUAAAACUCAAAGGAAUUGACGGGGACCCGCACAAGCGGUGGCUGAUGUGGAUUAAUUCGAUGCAACGCGAAGAACCUUGACUACCCUUGACAUGGCGGGAAUCCUGACGAGA
Molecule: ribosomal RNA, 610 nt
Filed under: uncultured archaeon
Lineage: Archaea
Description: bacterial SSU rRNA
Rfam family: Bacterial small subunit ribosomal RNA
Source: RNAcentral